GUUAAUGUAGCUUAAAUAAAAGUGUGACACUGAAAAUGCCAAGAUAGAUCUUAAAACAUCUCAUAAACA
This 69-nucleotide transfer RNA is filed under the name Ambystoma mexicanum (axolotl). RNAcentral describes it as "transfer RNA-Phe". It matches the Rfam family "tRNA". Rfam says of the family: Transfer RNA (tRNA) molecules are approximately 80 nucleotides in length. Their secondary structure includes four short double-helical elements and three loops (D, anti-codon, and T loops). Lineage: Eukaryota; Metazoa; Chordata; Amphibia; Caudata; Ambystomatidae. The record is from RNAcentral. RNAcentral also lists the same sequence under 4 other names.